AACGCGAAGAACCUUACCUGGGCUUGAACCGCUACUGACCAACGGUAGAAAUAUCGUCUUCCCGCAAGGGACAGUAGUAGAGGUGCUGCAUGGCUGUCGUCAGCUCGUGCCGUGAGGUGUUGGGUUAAGUCCCGCAACGAGCGCAACCCUUAUUCGUAGUUGCCACCCGCAAGGGGGAACUCUACGAGGACUGCUCCGGAUAACGGAGAGGAAGGUGGGGAUGACGUCAAGUCAGCAUGGCCUUUAUGUCCAGGGCUACACACGUGUUACAAUGCACGGUACAGACUGUUGCGAACCCGCGAGGGGGAGCUAAUCGGAUAAAACCGUGCUCAGUUCGGAUUGCAGUCUGCAACUCGACUGCAUGAAGCUGGAAUCGCUAGUAAUGGCGUAUCAGAUCGACGCCGUGAAUACGUUCCCGGGCCUUGUA
This 427-nucleotide ribosomal RNA is filed under the name uncultured Acidobacteriota bacterium. RNAcentral's name for it is "bacterial SSU rRNA". It matches the Rfam family "Bacterial small subunit ribosomal RNA", at positions 958 to 1385 of the family's 1533-position model. Lineage: Bacteria; Pseudomonadati; Acidobacteriota. The record is from RNAcentral.